This 30-nucleotide non-coding RNA is filed under the name Mus musculus (house mouse). The record is from RNAcentral. Lineage: Eukaryota; Metazoa; Chordata; Mammalia; Rodentia; Muridae.
UAGAUGAACUCAUAGGCAUAGAGGAUCCUG